AGUGCCAUCUGCCGGAUUAUGCACAGUGUCUCUGCCUUGACCUUUGUGUAAUCGUUCAACAAUAACAAACCCUUUCAGCUUCUAAAAAACCACGGUAAGACAAAUCCCUCAGAAAAUAACCCGUCGUCAGAGAAAGAAGAGCUGGCUAAGAGCCUAUGUGUCGUUUUUCUCAGUUGAGCUGAAAGGAUUGGCAGCAUUGUUCAUGAAAUUCAGAUGUUAGGGUUAUCAUCUUCUAAUUAAAGCAGACAGUGGACCGGGCUUUGUUCAGGAGCCGGACAGAAAUUUAAACGGACUGUGUAAAGCUGUAAAGAGGCUCCCGAGGGAUCUCAUUAUGAACUAUAUGAAGAGAGCCCAUCUGCACCAAGGCAUUGUCUUCAUUCUGCUGUAAAGAUGAGUUCUUGGCUGCUUGCUGUGUCAUGGCAUUUCAACACCAUCAAAAAAUCAUUACAGAUCAGAGAGGAACAGGAAGAUAGACAUGUCAGAUGUUAGACAUACAUUAUGUCACACAGAGUAAUGCAGCACCUCCUCAUGGUCUUCAUGAUCUUCUGAUGCAUGCUUCUCCAGAUAGUCGGUCUAAGUGUUGGAAGAUGCUCUCCUCAGGUUGAGAUAUGGCAGAGAUGAGCUCCUCACACUCAUGAGCUGUCAGCAGCUCCACCAGGCGCUCCAGCUGAUUAUUGCUGCUGCUGCAAAGCAAGUACAGGAACUUGCUACUGCCAGUACAUACGCUGAUACAGUGCAGUGAGUAUUACUGCUGCUGCACAAAUAGCAUAUAUAAUAACCUGUAGCAGAUCUAAACGGGUGGAGCUGGGGAAGGUGGAGGGUUUCAGAGGAACUGUGAAAGCAUGCUGCGAAAUGCUCUGGUGGAUGCUAACCAGCCAUUUAAAUGUAAAGCAGCAAGCUCACUGGCUGCGUAUGAAACAUUAACUAAUCAGCUUGUGCCAUGUAGUUUAACGCUGUGAAUAUCAUCAGUUUGCGUUAGGGACCCAUCAGCCUAUGCCGUCUAGAGUUUCCAUAGGCGGAAAUCCCGGGGGCGUCGGGGGGAACAGGACCCCCCCCAUCUGAGGGUUGUCCCCCCUAAAAAUAUGAUUAAAAACCACGCUGUGUAUUGCAAAUAACUAUGUUUUAUACUUUAAAUGUAAGUAGUAAAGCAACACAAACGCAAACGGUGCAAAAAUGCGUUUUAAGUUUAGAAACAUUUUGAGUCUCCCCCUCUCUCUCCUCACAGUGCUUUGGUCCAAAUGCCUGCUUUUCUCUUUUACAUCACCUCAGUGUUGCCAAUUGGGCUACUAACGCUGUUGCCAUGGGUUGUUUUUCAUGUCCGCAGGUUGAAGCGACCCCAAUAAAAUGAUAUUUAGCCCCUGUAAUGUGAAUUUUGCCGGACAAACCCCGUUGAAAAACGUGUAUUUUACUGCCCGGAACGCGAUUUUUACCAGGGCACCCCCAUCGAAACACGAUUGGGCUAGUUUGAGUAGCAAUUGGCCGGGUUUUGUUGCGAAAACCUGCUAACCCUGCAUCACCUACGGUGAGCGAGAACAAAGUCAAUAGUUAUGGAACUCGGCUGUCAAGGCUAUUAUAUUCACUUAAACGUCAGAUAAAGUGAUUAUUUUCUCUUUAAUACAGAUGAUGCCGAUGUAUUUUUCCGAUGGGUCCGCUAUGUUAGCAAUAAUAACGUUACCUGCUUGACAGAUAGCAAUGUCUACAACGGACAACAGCUUGAAGUUGUCUAAUU
Sinocyclocheilus grahami is the source of this 1729-nucleotide long non-coding RNA. RefSeq lists it as uncharacterized. Lineage: Eukaryota; Metazoa; Chordata; Actinopteri; Cypriniformes; Cyprinidae. The transcript is spliced from 5 exons. The record is from RefSeq and is a predicted model, not a curated record.